RNAcentral lists this ribosomal RNA (366 nucleotides) under Triticum aestivum (bread wheat). RNAcentral's name for it is "partial small subunit ribosomal RNA". The record is from RNAcentral. Lineage: Eukaryota; Viridiplantae; Streptophyta; Magnoliopsida; Poales; Poaceae.
AUGAGCCAGCAAAUCCCGUCAGCAGGUGUUGGUGGCUCAAGCACUGCCUCAGUAGCAGCACCUGCACUCCCUCAAGUUGAUUCGGAUGACCCUGCGUGGAAGUAUUGCACUCUUCCAGAUGUGAACAAGAAGCAUUGGCAGUUGGUAUGUUGUUUAUGUACUCUUCAGGACCAUCUCAUGUUGUUUAUGUACCACUUUUGUUAUUCAAAGUGUGCUGGUGGUAUGUUGCUAGUUGCUAUGCCAAACUUUGCUCUGUUAUGUAAUGAAUUGAACCAUCUCCUGAUAUAUGUCCUUAUUAUGUAUGGUAGGAACUACAUAAUACUAUGUUAUGUGGCUGUUUGCAUGAGUAUGGUAGGAACUACAUAA